This 626-nucleotide ribosomal RNA is filed under the name Ciliophora sp. Its description in RNAcentral is "SSU rRNA". It matches the Rfam family "Eukaryotic small subunit ribosomal RNA", at positions 341 to 980 of the family's 1831-position model. Lineage: Eukaryota; Ciliophora. The record is from RNAcentral.
CUACCAUGGCGUUUACGGGUAACGGAGGAUUAGGGUUCGAUUCCGGAGAGGGAGCCUGAGAAACGGCUACCACAUCUAAGGAAGGCAGCAGGCGCGUAAAUUACCCAAUCCUGACUCAGGGAGGUAGUGACAAGAAAUAACGGACCGGUUCCUUUGGAUUCGGGAUUGCAAUGAGCCGAAUUUACACCCCUUAGCGAGGAUCGAUUGGAGGGCAAGUCUGGUGCCAGCAGCCGCGGUAAUUCCAGCUCCAAUAGCGUAUAUUAAAGUUGUUGCAGUUAAAAAGCUCGUAGUUGGAUUUCUGGGAGGGUGCCAAUGUCCGUCGACGUACGUGUUGCAGCGGCGCCCUUCCAUCCUUCUGUUAACGGCUCUCGGCAUUCAUUUGCUGGUGUCGGGCUCAGAUAUUUUACCUUGAGAAAAUUAGAGUGUUUCAGGCAGGCUAGGCCGGAAUACAUUAGCAUGGAAUAAUGGAAUAGGACUACGGUCUCUUUGUUGGUUUGAGGGACUGCAGUAAUGAUUAAUAGGGAUAGUUGGGGGCAUUAGUAUUUAAUUGUCAGAGGUGGAAUUCUCGGAUUUGUUAAAGACUAACUUAUGCGAAAGCAUUUGCCAAGGAUGUUUUCAUUAAUCAA